UACGGAAGUGGCUAGCGUGGUUCGGAAUUACUGGGCGUAAAGAGCGCGUAGGCGGCUUACCAAGUUGGGGGUGAAAUCCCGGAGCUCAACUCCGGAACUGCCUUCAAAACUGGUAGGCUCGAGUCCGGAAGAGGGGCGUGGAAUUCCCAGUGUAGAGGUGAAAUUCGUAGAUAUUGGGAAGAACACAGGUGGCGAAGGCGGCGCCCUGGUCCGGUACUGACGCUGAGGCGCGAAAGCGUGGGGAGCAAACAGG
RNAcentral lists this ribosomal RNA (253 nucleotides) under uncultured bacterium. RNAcentral's name for it is "partial 16S ribosomal RNA". It matches the Rfam family "Bacterial small subunit ribosomal RNA", at positions 524 to 776 of the family's 1533-position model. The record is from RNAcentral.